CAGUCGCCACGGUAAUACGAAGGGUGCAAGCGUUAAUCGGAAUUACUGGGCGUAAAGCGUGCGUAGGCGGUUUGUUAAGUCUGUUGUGAAAUCCCCGGGCUCAACCUGGGAAUGGCAAUGGAUACUGGCAAGCUAGAGUGUGUCAGAGGAUGGUGGAAUUCCCGGUGUAGCGGUGAAAUGCGUAGAGAUCGGGAGGAACAUCAGUGGCGAAGGCGGCCAUCUGGGACAACACUGACGCUGAGGCACGAAAGCGUGGGGAGCAAACAGGAUUAGAUACCCGAGUAGUCCCUGUCUCUUAUAC
Molecule: ribosomal RNA, 301 nt
Filed under: uncultured bacterium
Lineage: Bacteria
Description: partial 16S ribosomal RNA
Rfam family: Bacterial small subunit ribosomal RNA
Source: RNAcentral